Long non-coding RNA from Dermochelys coriacea (leatherback sea turtle), 1662 nucleotides. RefSeq lists it as uncharacterized. The transcript is spliced from 2 exons. Lineage: Eukaryota; Metazoa; Chordata; Testudines; Dermochelyidae. The record is from RefSeq and is a predicted model, not a curated record.
UUCGUGCAUGUCGGAUGCAUAAUUCAUAGGCUGCAGCAAUUACUCUCGCCCCUCCCCCCGCCCGACAGGGUUUGCAUGGCGGCUAUUUCCAUGCUUAAUUGGGUGAACUAUUCACCCCACCCUUGCAAGCCCGAGCUUGCUUCAUUUGCGCAGCGAACCCCCCAUCUACCGGUAGGCUAGGUGCCUGCUUGAUGCUUGAAUUCCCUCCCCCCCGCGCCCAGUUACUCUGGAAGCUGUGCAAAACGGGGCGGUGAGGUAUUCAUACUUCAUAUAUACUGUAGUGACACUGUCCCCACUUCAUUAUUUGCAGGCUGGGCACGAGGUCGGGGCUUCUUGCACAGGAACAUGGGGGACAGAGGCUGGAGUUUCCCUCAAGCUGCAUUAAAAACUCCUUGGAUUAGCGAGAAGAGGCCACUCAACCCAGGAGGUGACCAGGAAGGGAUCAGAAGGUGCAAGCCAGGUGACCUGUCCCAUUCUGAGCGCACCGACUAUGCCGUGGCUGACAUUAUCCAGCCAAGGGUCCCUGCUGAACCAGGGAUCAAAGGACAACUCUGAGCAACUUCCCUGAGUUUUUCAUCGGUGGAUCUCAAAGCGCUUUACAGAAUGGGAAACUGAGGCACCCGGGCUCCAAAGAGGCUCUGCGGUGCCACAGCUUCGGUGAUCUUAGCAUGAUCCACGCGGGCGCCACAUGGAUGGCACAGCAGCAGCGGAUGGCAAAGGUCCCGUUAUUUUAGCAGGGAAGUUGGGUACUCUCAGCUCUGCAUCUGGACGGCUGUUUUCAGAGCAGGGAAUAACAUAAAACUCCCAGAGAGGAAGCCUCAUUGGUAAAAGUAACAGAGCUGUAAACUAAGGGUGUGUCAUCACAGGGGUCUGUGCACCCAGGAUUGGGGCCCAUCGUUUCCUGGGAUCGAAUAGCCUCGCAUUGCAUGGGCCUGUGGCUAUGAUUCUUCGGACGUGGCUACACGAGAGAGAUGCACCAGUGGGUUUUACAACCAAUGUAGUGAAAUCGGUGCAGAUCUGUGUAUGGACGCUCUUACUUCAGUUUGACGGCGGCUUACUUGGGAGGCCAGGUGGCCUAGUGGACAGAGACUGGGACGCAGGAGACCUAUAUGUUCUAUUCCCGGCUCUGCUGCUGGGUGACCUUGCGCAAGUCACUGCCCUUCUCUGUGUCUCAGUUUCCCCAUCUGUAAAAUGGGGAUCAUGAUACUGACAUUGUUUUUAAAGCACUUUGAGCUCGACUGAUGAAAACCUGUAUAAGAGCUUGGUACAGAAAACUUGACAAUGCUGCUGAGACCACAGCCUAUCAUGCUAAGCAAUAUUGUCCUUGUACUCCCAUGCCUGCAGUUGUCUCAUGUCUUAUACUUAGAUUGUAAGCUCCUUGGGGGCAGGGACUGUCCCUUUGUUCUGUGUUUGUACAGCACCCAGCGCAGUGGGAUUCUCCAUCACUGGUCCUACAAAUAAUAAUGGCAAUAAUAUUUAAUAAGAAGCUCAAUCUUAUAUAAGCCACUCAGACUGAAAUAGGGGCAUCUCCACUGCAGUUUGCCCCAGUCUUAAUCAGUUUACAUUUAUACCUGUGGUUUAACUGCUGCACCUUCCCCCUGCAGACCAGCUCUUACUACAACCCAACGUGUCCAAACCAUUAAAAAAAGUUACUGCACUUAA